RNAcentral lists this ribosomal RNA (458 nucleotides) under uncultured bacterium. RNAcentral's name for it is "partial 16S ribosomal RNA". It matches the Rfam family "Bacterial small subunit ribosomal RNA", at positions 338 to 795 of the family's 1533-position model. The record is from RNAcentral.
CCUACGGGGGACAGCAGUGAGGAAUAUUGGUCAAUGGGCGAGAGCCUGAACCAGCCAAGUCGCGUGAGGGAGUACUGCCCUAUGGGUUGUAAACCUCUUUUGUCGGGGAGCAAAAGCCGGACGUGUCCGGCUGUGAGAGUACCCGAAGAAAAAGCAUCGCCUAACUCCGUGCCAGCAGCCGCGGUAAUACGGAGGAUGCGAGCGUUAUCCGGAUUUAUUGGGUUAAAAGGGUGCGCAGGCGGAUUUUUAAGUCAGCGGUAAAAUCGUGGGGCUCAACCCCGUCCAGCCGUUGAAACUGGGGAUCUAGAGUGUGGGAGAGGUAUGCGGAAUGCGUGGUGUAGCGGUGAAAUGCAUAGAUAUCACGCAGAACACCGGUUGCGAAGGCAGCAUACCGGUGCACAACUGACGCUCAGGCACGAAAGCGUGGGUAUCGAACAGGAUUAGAUACCCGGGUAGUC